Molecule: ribosomal RNA, 237 nt
Filed under: uncultured bacterium
Lineage: Bacteria
Description: partial 16S ribosomal RNA
Rfam family: Bacterial small subunit ribosomal RNA
Source: RNAcentral
GAUCAUAGCUCAGGAUAAACGCUGGCGGCGCACAUAAGACAUGCAAGUCGAACGGACUUAACCAUUAGUUUACUAUUGGAGCGGUUAGUGGCGGACUGGUGAGUAACACGUAAGCAACCUGCCUAUCAGAGGGGAACAACAGUUAGAAAUGACUGCUAAUACCGCAUAUGCCUAAGUACCACAUGGUACAAUAGGGAAAGGAGUAAUCCGCUGAUAGAUGGGCUUGCGUCUGAUUAG